This 112-nucleotide transfer RNA is filed under the name Aspergillus pseudodeflectus. RNAcentral describes it as "tRNA-Leu". It matches the Rfam family "tRNA". Rfam says of the family: Transfer RNA (tRNA) molecules are approximately 80 nucleotides in length. Their secondary structure includes four short double-helical elements and three loops (D, anti-codon, and T loops). RNAcentral also lists the same sequence under 1 other name. The record is from RNAcentral. Lineage: Eukaryota; Fungi; Ascomycota; Eurotiomycetes; Eurotiales; Aspergillaceae.
GGCAAGGUGGCCGAGCGGUCUAAGGCGCUGCUUUCAAGAUCACAUGAUCUUCCUGAAUAAGGGUUGACCAGCAGUGAGGAAACUCUCGCGUGUUCGAAUCACGUCCUUGUCA